ACACACACACACACACACACACACACACACGCACACACUUAAUGAACAAUGUUAUGUGAAACUGACAUUUAUGGUGAAUAGUUGACUUUAACAACUAAACAAUUGUAAAUUAUUUGAAUUAUGAGGUUUUGAGUGCAGUGUAAUAGUAGUGUAACUUUUUGAUUACCUUAUCAAAAUAAUGUAACUUGUUACAAUUUGAUUAAUUCUUUAUACUUGAAUGUUUUCAACUGAAAGUUCCGAAUUUGUACAGGUCCUGUUUUAACUAUUUAAAUUCUCUCUCUAACUGUUAAUUUGUCACGCCAUAAUGCUGGGUCUUCACUGAUCACUGUAUGCCAUUGCUGUUACUCACAUUGGUGACAUCACUGCUCUCGUUAUCAUCCAGCUGUGCUUGAGCAGUGAUGAUGACCAUGGCAGUAUCAUGCGCGUCGUCAGUGCAGGUGUCAGUGUCCCGUAUAUGGGCAGCUGUGGCAUAGACGUCUAUAUAUGACUAUGAGCUGUGGUACAUGAUGGCUAACCGUUUGUAGAAGCAAGGCAGGCAGGGUUAGUUGGUGCUGUAGUAGCUGUUUGUCUGCUGCUGCUAGCAUUAGCUAAACUUGGCUCAGCAGCACUUGAAACAUUAUCAGAAACACGGACGAAUUCUUGAUGGGAAAUAUUGUGUUACCUUAGGUCAUUUCUCCCUGAACUUCUCAUCCUCCCUUUUUCUCUCUCUUUUCUUACUGCCACUUAGAAAUCUUUUCAUGCUUAACUUUGCGACCACACACACCAUCACACAACAAAUUGACCUGGAAUAAUUUUUUUCAUGAUGGAUUUAAGAUACAUUUCAGGCUAAUACAUACAAUAAAAUAAUCGUGUUUUCAUGCUUAUUAUGAAUUGUCAUUCGUUUGCAAUGACAAACCACCAAACAUACAGUAUACUCACACAACAGAACAUACAUACACACAGGGACGCAUUUAAACCCGGGCACACACACACUCACACUUACAUGGAGACAUAGGAACGGCACACCUUCUCAUAUACACACACACACACACACACACACACACACUUGUGUUCUCUUUUUCACAACCAGCACAACACACCUGCGUUUAAUAGCACUAAGUAGGAGGAGAAGUGUAUGGAGAAGUGCCUGCUGGACUCGCUGGCAUGCCUUCAUGGCAUGGUGCUGAACAUGACUGGGUCUUUCUCCUGAUGCAUUUACGCAUGGACUGACUGUGUGUGUUCAUGUGGUGUACAACUCACUACAAUGUGUUCCGUCCCCUCUUAGCAACACAAAUACACACACACUCUCUCUCUCACACACACUCAUAUACACACACACACACACAUACAUACAGGCACAUAACAUACACACACACAGUCCUCUAACCUUUACUUUGACACAUAGAGAACCAUAUAACAGACAAAAUACACCUUUAAUGACAAUAUUAGUUAAUGUAAUGUCUCGUGACAUUGUUAUAGCUACAUAGGUCCAGCGUUCCCAUCUGUGCAGCCUGUGUUUAUAUGCAGUAGUGUGUGGGGAGAGGAGGAGAGGGUGGGCAGCCAUGAGUAGAGGAAGGGAAGGAGGAGUAAUGGGGAGAGAGGAGAAGAGAGGAGCGCUUAAUAUGAAGGAGAAGAGAGGAGAGGAGAAGAGAGGAGCGCUUAAUAUGAAGGAGAAGAGAGGAGAGGAGA
Molecule: long non-coding RNA, 1668 nt
Organism: Clupea harengus (Atlantic herring)
Lineage: Eukaryota; Metazoa; Chordata; Actinopteri; Clupeiformes; Clupeidae
Source: Ensembl